This is a non-coding RNA of Dufourea novaeangliae, 45 nucleotides long. Lineage: Eukaryota; Metazoa; Arthropoda; Insecta; Hymenoptera; Halictidae. The record is from Rfam.
AAAUCGGCCCCUUUCGGGGCCAUCAAUGUUCAUAACGUAGGAACA